This 31-nucleotide non-coding RNA is filed under the name Mus musculus (house mouse). Lineage: Eukaryota; Metazoa; Chordata; Mammalia; Rodentia; Muridae. The record is from RNAcentral.
UAAAGUGGGUCUUUUCAGGUAAUGUACGUCU